GCCGGUGUAGCUCAGCUGGCAGAGCGGCGCUCUUGUAAAGCGAAGGUCGGGGGUUCGAUUCCCUCCACCGGCACCA
RNAcentral lists this transfer RNA (76 nucleotides) under Rhodobacteraceae bacterium WD3A24. RNAcentral describes it as "tRNA-Thr". It matches the Rfam family "tRNA". From Rfam's summary of the family: Transfer RNA (tRNA) molecules are approximately 80 nucleotides in length. Their secondary structure includes four short double-helical elements and three loops (D, anti-codon, and T loops). The record is from RNAcentral. Lineage: Bacteria; Pseudomonadati; Pseudomonadota; Alphaproteobacteria; Rhodobacterales; Paracoccaceae.